This is a long non-coding RNA of Jatropha curcas, 826 nucleotides long. RefSeq lists it as uncharacterized. Lineage: Eukaryota; Viridiplantae; Streptophyta; Magnoliopsida; Malpighiales; Euphorbiaceae. The record is from RefSeq and is a predicted model, not a curated record.
UGUUCUUAAGAAUGUGGCUUUGCUCUCAGUGAGAUGACCCAGUAUGGCGGUUGCUCCUCUCUCUGAACGACUGCGGAGCCGAUGAUUUUACCGUCGGUUUAUAAAACAAUCGCGUAUGUUGGAAAUUUUAGCUCAUUAGUUUGAGAACGAGGUUUUGCUCUCAGUGAGAUUGAAGGUUUUAGGGCGGUUGACUUCGUCUCUCUGAUAAAAAGCGGAGCCUGUGAUUUAUCUUCUUAUUUGCCAACAGCUCCUUCUCCCUCUACAGACAGAGAGGCCAAAUGCAUAAAUCUACCCUCAACUUUGCACUUCUACCCUUUGUUUGGAUGGAAUGAUUGGAAGUUUUAGUAACUUAAUGAGGUUAUGAUGAUAUUAUCAGUGACCUAAAAUCAGAUUAGAAAAGAAACACCCAUCCUCUGGCGGGGUAGGCUUUUUGAAGCAGCGGCUUUAACUCCACUCGUGGUUCCUGAACUUAGACAGCCUUUGGCAGUCCUUAAAUAUGGGUUUCACCCUAUUUCCUGGUAGCUAUUGGCUGCAGCCAUGAUGUGGUGUUGUUUCUUUCUUGUUUGAUACUAGGGCUAUCUGAUCUCAGCCUCCAUUUCUCCAAAUAUCUUUGUUUAGGUUCUGUUUGUUUCGGGGAGAUAUUUCAAGUGAAGGGUGAGGCUUAGCUCUUGGAGAGCUACUCUGACUGAUUGCAGAGCUGACCCUUAUUUGUCAAUAUCUAUACCUAUCUUUUUCUAUCAUCUCUUUCUUUGUCUUGUGGGUCUAUGCAUGGCUGUGAUGAUGCUGUUAUUUUUUUAAUGAAAAUCGGACAAUUGGAUGAACACUA